This 560-nucleotide long non-coding RNA is filed under the name Coturnix japonica (Japanese quail). RNAcentral describes it as "lncRNA (ENSCJPG00005001302.1)". Lineage: Eukaryota; Metazoa; Chordata; Aves; Galliformes; Phasianidae. The record is from RNAcentral.
AUGUAUCUGAUUACUCUGUCAAGGUUGGGACCGGAAAAUGACCUAUUGCACCGUGUCAAUUGUCCUUUGCAGAAGCCUUUACUGUUAAUCAAGAGGGGAAGAUUAGAGGAGAUCAGAACUACCAGCCUGAAGAACGCUUUGCAUUUGACUACACCUUUCUACCAGCAUGUUUUUCUGCUGAAAUCUCUGCAGGGAGAAGUUCUCCAGGUAAAUGAAGAGCUGCUUCAACUCAGAGGCACAAUGACCAAAGCACUUGGCAGUGGGCAUGAAAACGGAGACUGAACAUUAAGAGACUGGUAAGAAAUGCAGCCAUCAGCAAGAUGCUCCAAGUAGGAGUGUUGGGACCGGAGAGCAUUCUCACCCCACCAGGGCUGACGUGGAUGAUGGAUGUGAUUCCAGAAGGGAAGCGCAUGGGAAGGUCCUUGCAGAGAGAUUCCCCAGGAGGUGGCAGGAAGACAGUUAGGAUGCAGAGACGAGCUAACGCAGUCGGAGAGGAUAUUAGUAAGUCGCAAAGGGCUUGAUUCCUUAGGAAGGGAUAUCCUUAUAUCUAUGCAAACGAG